This 275-nucleotide ribosomal RNA is filed under the name uncultured bacterium. Its description in RNAcentral is "partial 16S ribosomal RNA". It matches the Rfam family "Bacterial small subunit ribosomal RNA", at positions 338 to 623 of the family's 1533-position model. The record is from RNAcentral.
CCUACGGGUGGCUGCAGUGGGGAAUAUUGCGCAAUGGGCGAAAGCCUGACGCAGCGACGCCGCGUGAGGGAUGAAGGCCUUCGGGUUGUAAACCUCUUUCAGCAGGGACGAAGCCGCAAGGUGACUGUACCUGCAGAAGAAGCACCGGCUAACUACGUGCCAGCAGCCGCGGUAAUACGUAGGGUGCAAGCGUUGUCCGGAAUUAUUGGGCGUAAAGAGCUCGUAGGCGGUCUGUCGCGUCGGAUGUGAAAACUCGGGGCUCAACCCCGAGCCUG